UGGUUUACUUCAUUUCUAUGAAGCAUGUCU
Molecule: non-coding RNA, 30 nt
Filed under: Mus musculus (house mouse)
Lineage: Eukaryota; Metazoa; Chordata; Mammalia; Rodentia; Muridae
Source: RNAcentral